RNAcentral lists this non-coding RNA (308 nucleotides) under Caldibacillus debilis. Its description in RNAcentral is "T-box sequence". It matches the Rfam family "T-box leader". Rfam says of the family: Uncharged tRNA acts as the effector for transcription antitermination of genes in the T-box leader family. T-boxes are found upstream of many aminoacyl-tRNA synthetase genes and some amino acid biosynthetic genes usually in Gram-positive bacteria. The record is from RNAcentral. Lineage: Bacteria; Bacillati; Bacillota; Bacilli; Caryophanales; Bacillaceae.
GAAAAUUCGAUGAAGAAGAGAGUAGGAAAAAGACAGCGGCACGAGCGAGUCGGGGACGGUGGAAGCCCGAUGCCGCCCUUUUUCCGAAGCGCACUUCCGAGAAGCGGCUCUGAAACGGUUGACCGGCGGCUGCAGUCAGGCUGAAGUUUUCUGCCGCAAGGGAAACACUCCCGCGAAAACGCCGCCGAAACCGCGCGUAGGAGCCCGCCGCCCGGCCGCGUUACGGCAGCGAGGGAACAACCGGGGGUUUUGCCCUUUCCCUUCGGUUGUUAAAAAGAGUGGCACCGCGGGUGCAGCCCGUCUCUUUG